UGGGGAAUUUUGGACAAUGGGCGAAAGCCUGAUCCAGCAAUGCCGCGUGUGUGAAGAAGGCCUUCGGGUUGUAAAGCACUUUUGUCCGGAAAGAAAUCCUUGGCUCUAAUACAGUCGGGGGAUGACGGUACCGGAAGAAUAAGCACCGGCUAACUACGUGCCAGCAGCCGCGGUAAUACGUAGGGUGCAAGCGUUAAUCGGAAUUACUGGGCGUAAAGCGUGCGCAGGCGGUUUGCUAAGACCGAUGUGAAAUCCCCGGGCUCAACCUGGGAACUGCAUUGGCGACUGGCAGGCUAGAGUAUGGCAGAGGGGGGUAGAAUUCCACGUGUAGCAGUGAAAUGCGUAGAGAUGUGGAGGAAUACCGAUGGCGAAGGCAGCCCCCUGGGCCAAUACUGACGCUCAUGCACGAAAGCGUGGGGGAGCAAACAGGAUUAGAUACCCUGGUAGUCCACGCCCUAAACGAUGUCAACUAGUUGUUGGGGAUUCAUUUCCUUAGUAACGUAGCUAACGCGUGAAGUUGACCGCCUGGGGAGUACGGUCGCAAGAUUAAAACUUAAAUGAAUUGACGGGGUCAUAGCUGUUUCCU
RNAcentral lists this ribosomal RNA (586 nucleotides) under uncultured bacterium. RNAcentral's name for it is "partial 16S ribosomal RNA". It matches the Rfam family "Bacterial small subunit ribosomal RNA", at positions 355 to 1375 of the family's 1533-position model. The record is from RNAcentral.